GAUGAACGCUGGCGGCGUGCCUAAUACAUGCAAGUCGAGCGAACAGACGAGGAGCUUGCUCCUCUGACGUUAGCGGCGGACGGGUGAGUAACACGUGGAUAACCUACCUAUAAGUCUGGGAUAACUUCGGGAAACCGGAGCUAAUACCGGAUACUAUAUUGAACCGCAUGGUUCAAUUGUAAAAGACGGUUUUGCUGUCACUUAUAGAUGGAUCCGCGCCGCAUUAGAUAGUUGGUAAGGUAACGGCAUACCAACGCAACGAUGCGUAGCCUAGGUGAGAGGGUGGUAAGCCACACUGGAACUGAGACGCGAUACAGACUACUACGGGAGGCGACGGAGGGGAGACUUCCACAAUGGAAGGGAGGCGGACGGGACAACGCCAAGUAGGGGAUAGGAGUCUUGGGAUCGGAGUAGUCUGUUAUUUGGAAAGAACAAUAGAGUAAGUAACUAGGCGCGUAUUGACGGUACCUAAUCAAAAAGCAACGGCUAACUACGUG
This 497-nucleotide ribosomal RNA is filed under the name uncultured bacterium. RNAcentral describes it as "partial 16S ribosomal RNA". It matches the Rfam family "Bacterial small subunit ribosomal RNA", at positions 28 to 507 of the family's 1533-position model. The record is from RNAcentral.